This 29-nucleotide non-coding RNA is filed under the name Homo sapiens (human). The record is from RNAcentral. Lineage: Eukaryota; Metazoa; Chordata; Mammalia; Primates; Hominidae.
GAGAAAGCUCACAAGAACUGCUAACUCAU